RNAcentral lists this small nuclear RNA (106 nucleotides) under Phascolarctos cinereus (koala). The record is from RNAcentral. Lineage: Eukaryota; Metazoa; Chordata; Mammalia; Diprotodontia; Phascolarctidae.
GUGCUUACUUAGGCAGCACAUAUACUAAAAUUGGAACGAUACAGAGAAGAUUAGCAUGCCCCUGUGCAAAGAUGACCCACAAAUUCAUGAAUCAUUCUAUAAAGAA